AACGAACGCUGGCGGCAGGCCUAACACAUGCAAGUCGAACGCUCCGCAAGGGGAGUGGCGCACGGGUGAGUAACGCGUGGGAAUCUACCUAUUAGUAAGGAAUAACAGUUGGAAACGACUGCUAAUACCUUAUACGCCCUACGGGGGAAAGAUUUAUCGCUAAUAGAUGAGCCCGCGUAAGAUUAGCUAGUUGGUGAGGUAAUGGCUCACCAAGGCUACGAUCUUUAGCUGGUCUGAGAGGAUGAUCAGCCACACUGGAACUGAGACACGGUCCAGACUCCUACGGGAGGCAGCAGUGGGGAAUAUUGGACAAUGGGCGAAAGCCUGAUCCAGCCAUGCCGCGUGAAUGAUGAAGGCCUUAGGGUUGUAAAGUUCUUUCGCCGCCGAGGAUAAUGACGGUAAGCGGAUAAGAAGCCCCGGCUAACUUCGUGCCAGCAGCCGCCGCAG
This 447-nucleotide ribosomal RNA is filed under the name uncultured bacterium. Its description in RNAcentral is "partial 16S ribosomal RNA". It matches the Rfam family "Bacterial small subunit ribosomal RNA", at positions 29 to 523 of the family's 1533-position model. The record is from RNAcentral.